RNAcentral lists this long non-coding RNA (7414 nucleotides) under Populus trichocarpa (black cottonwood). RNAcentral describes it as "long non-coding RNA (PTRI_LNC002817)". The record is from RNAcentral. Lineage: Eukaryota; Viridiplantae; Streptophyta; Magnoliopsida; Malpighiales; Salicaceae.
GUUAUCCUUGAAGUAGUUGGUACCAAAAGCACUCGCUUCGACAAAACUUGUUUUAGAAUUUCUGUUCAUGCCCAAAUCAAGAUCCCUGUAAUUAGCAUAUGCUUCCCUAGGAUUCUUUGAGACAUAAGGUGUCAUGUAACUGUAAACCUUCCUAGUCCAAUUUAUAUGCUUUGCAACGUUUUCCGUUGCAUCUUGCCAACUGGACCAGUAAAGGAUCAUGAACUUGGUACCGUUUCUAUGAGGGAAAGGAGUCUGAGAUUCUGAAAUUUGGUUCAUCAUCCCACCAUAAGGAGUAAACACUACUAGAGGACUCUCUGCUUCAAAUAACUUCUCCCACAACCCUUCAAGUGCCUUUUCAGGUAUGGGUUUUCUGGCAUAGUCAGAUUUGCCUUUGAAGUAGGCCCUGUCCAUGUUAAUUCUUUGAAGGAAAACUUCAGGAGNNNNNNNNNNNNNNNNNNNNNNNNNNNNNNNNNNNNNNNNNNNNNNNNNNNNNNNNNNNNNNNNNNNNNNNNNNNNNNNNNNNNNNNNNNNNNNNNNNNNNNNNNNNNNNNNNNNNNNNNNNNNNNNNNNNNNNNNNNNNNNNNNNNNNNNNNNNNNNNNNNNNNNNNNNNNNNNNNNNNNNNNNNNNNNNNNNNNNNNNNNNNNNNNNNNNNNNNNNNNNNNNNNNNNNNNNNNNNNNNNNNNNNNNNNNNNNNNNNNNNNNNNNNNNNNNNNNNNNNNNNNNNNNNNNNNNGUAAUAGCUAGUUGAAUAAAAUUAUUAAUAUUAAAAAAUAAAUUUAAAAUAAUAUUUAAAUAUGCACACUGACCAACUAAACUAUUUGCAUGCAAAUUUGUUGUCAUAUGAAAUAAAUAAAUAUAUCAUGUGGAAUAAAUAAAUAUACUAACCUGCUUCAAUUUAUUAUAAUUUUAGAGUUUUAAUGAUGGAGAAAUAUAUCAUAUUAUAUAGUCCAAGAUUCAACGGAUCAUCUAAUAUAUAUAUAUAUACCAGAUUUGAACCUCCAACAUUUAAAUUUUUUGCUUUUCUCAGAAAUUCUGUAGGAAAGUUCGCCAUUCGUGGCUCCCGCCUGAACCCACGCGCUGUUGUGCUCAAUCAACGCUGAUAGACCGUAGCUUUGCAAGGUCUACAACAAUGAAAGAUGUCUCAAUUUCUGAUACAUAAGAGAGUCCCUCAUAAUCAUGGCCUCCGCUACGGACUCUAAUGUGAAUUCCAAGCUGCUUAGAGCAAAUAACAACAGCUUGGAUGUGAGAUUCUUGUAAAGGAGUGAAGAUAAACUCGGGUUUCGGUACUGGAGGCAAGGUGAACCUGAGGUUUUGAGCAGAAGAUUGUAAGACACUAGUGAAAGAAGAGUUUUGUGGAGCAUACAAGACAGUGGAAAAAGGAAAGGAGUAGGACCACAAGUAUUGAAAGUAUGGAAGAUCUUGAAGGCACCAUUUUUCCUGCUUUCUUGCCUCUCUGGCUUGCCUUUAAGAAUUGAUGUCUCAAGGAGUUCUUUUAUAGAGGAGCUAUGAACAAUCAACAGGAAAUUAAAUUAUUUUGUAGCUCGUUUUGUGCAGUGAGAUAUUUACUUGUGAUAUUACAAUGGGAUUAUAUAAAUUUGAAUGAUUCAUAUUCCAUGCAAUAUAGUCAAACUUUUAGACUUUAAAUGUUUAAUUAAUUAAACACAUCUUCCAAUCAUAUUAUACAUAUCAUUAUAGCUAAAGUGAAUAAAUCAAAAAAUUGAGGAUUGAUUUGGAAAUUAACAUAUUUUGGCAUCAUUUUCUUUAAAAUGAAACGACGUGUUUUGUUCAAAACGACACACUUUCAUGUACUGUUUUGAACGACAUUGUAUAUCUUUUUCUUCCCUGACGUGCAAAGGCAAGGGAAGAAGGUUUUUCUUCCCCUCCUUUGCAGCACCCAUAUUCCCUCUUUCUCCCUCUCCCCACUUGUCCAAACCCUGACACAACUCACACCCCUCACCUGCCACCAUGAUGAAGAUUGGACAAGGAAGCGAUACUCUGCAGCUGAGGCGACUGCACAGAGGCCACCCCAGCCACCCUACCUUGUCUCCAUGAUUCGACAAAGGUAGGGUAGCUCCCGCUUCCCCUAUCAUAUAAAUACCCCACUCAACAAGCCGAGAGCAGGGGGGAAAGAAAAACGGGGGAAACAGAAAAGAGAGACGAAAGAGAGAGAAGGAGGGAAGAAAAAGAACAAAACAAACCAAAGGAAAAAAAAUAGAGAAACAGAGACAGAGAGGAGAGAAACAGAGGGAUUGGGAAGGAACAAGAAGCAAAGGAAAAGGAAAGACAGAAAAAGGGUGGAGAAAUAAAGAAAAAAAAACCGAGGGAAGAAGAAACACACAAAAACAAAGGAAAAAAAGAAGAAGAAUCGUCGUUUGGAACAACCAUCCACCACGACAUCAUCGUCACCGAGAGCCACCAGCACCGUCAAUGCCGUCAGUAGGUCAGCCCCCCUCUUCUCCUUCUUCUUCUGCUCAUUUUCUCGUGUCUACUGCCUUGUAGAGCGAACAGUGAAGAGUUGCUCCACUGUUAACUAGGUCGAACAACGCCGAUCCAGAUCAAAAUGGAUGGGCCGGGUCCUGCCCAAUCCGAAAGGAAAAAAAACAUCUGGUGGGCCAAAUCGAGCCAACCCCAAUACCUUGGGCCGAACUCAGCGUAAUUUAUUCUGGGCUGAUUUCGGCCCAGUCAGGAUGGGCUCAGCCAAAUGUAAUUGGGCUAAGCCAAUCCCAAUAUAUUGGUAUAAUAAUGUUAUAUAAUAUAAUAUUAUAUAUUAAAAAAAAGUUUUUUUUAAAAAAAUUCUAAAUCCUUUGAAAAACUUCUUUGGGAUUUUCUCACAAGUUUUUUUUUAUCAUUUUGGGUUCAUAUCGAUUUGUAUUUGUAUACUGUAAAGAUAUAGAUCUGAUAAUAAAAUAUCUGGUUUUGUUUGAAAUAUUGCAAAAAAAUUAUAUCAAAAACAAAAAAAAAUAUUUUUUUUCAUGCAUACGGCCAACUCUGUCAAAAAAUAAAAAAACAUCAUAUUGUACUUUCAUACAACAAAAACAAUUACAGAAAAUGUUUAGCAUGUAUUUUGGCUUUAAUAACCAGUUUAUUAAAGUCAUGAGAAGUAAGCCAACAUUUUAAAAAUACCCAAAAAAUAUUUUUAUUUUUUUAGUAACUGGGAUUCUGAAUUUAUAUGUAAAACGUAUUCCCGAUGUUAAAAUGUAUUUUUUUAUAGACAUUAGAACGGUUAGGUUCUUACCUAAUAAGAUAAGGACCUCUUUACCGAGCAGGACUUUUCUUAACUCAUAGACAGACCAAUAAUUAGAAAACACAACAAGACCUUAGUUUUUUUUAUUAAACGAUAAACAAUGCAGCUUACCUUAGGUAGGGCUUAUUAGGGGUGCUAAUACAUUCCCUUUAUGCAACCAGUCUUCAUGCCCGAUCCCUGAGACCAGUUAGGGUUUCUGAUGAUCAAAAUACUAGGUGGCGACUCUCAUUUCCCUUUUUCAUGGAUGAAAGACAAGAAAUCCUUGUCUACUCUAUUUUUCAAUUUCCAAAUACUUAAAAGAGUGGACGAUUGUUGCGAUGCCGCACACGUGUGACAGACCACAUGGACCACCAAGGGUUAACAAUAACUGCUCAUACAAUCACCUAAGUUGAGUCGUCAUGUACCAAAGUUAAGCCAUCUCAGAACUAAGCUGGGAUGUCUGAGCCUUAACUUAUUCUCGUACAAUCGCCUAGAUGACUAAAGAUUGGGGGCGUAAACCCAAUUACGAGGAACAAAAGGUCGAUACACUAGGACUCAUCUGUAUAUCCUUAAUCAUAGUGUUAGAGAUACCAUAAAUUCAAUUUAUAUCGAGUCCACCAGACGAUCCAGCGUCCAACCACAAAUCCAAAUCGAGUUUUGGAUGGGUCGAAGGAUCAUCCUUGUAUCUCUCCUGCAAACGGGUAUUAUAUGUUUCCUGAAAAAAGAAAAAAAACAAUCAACAAAUUAAAAAAAUAAUAACAUAAUAAAAAAAAUUGUUAAAAUUCAAUUUACCAUGAACUUUUGAGCUUGGCUAUCCACAAGCUAUUAUACCCCUUUCCAUCAGUUGUCAUUUUGCAUGUGAGUUUUAACAAAAAGAUUUAUCGGUCUUGGAUCAUGUCCAAGAACUGUAACCUGCAAAAGAGAGUUACUGUUUGUUAAACAUUAAAUAUUUUAUAUAAAACAACAAUCUAAAAAAAAUAUACAUAAUAAAACAAUAUCUUACCAUCCUCUUUACAAGCGAAAUGAACAAAAUGAAUUUAGUAAGAGUUUAGACACAUGUCAAUUAACUAGUAUUCUAGGCCAAAGGGUUUCAUCAUGGAUUUAGCAGUAUAUAAGUUCGCUUUCAGCCUAUUCCCUUUAGAUAAAAUGCUUCUUGUUCAUUCGAUCAUUUUGUCGUAACCGCCCUAGCUCAACCCAUGAUCUAACUUAAUGGUGAACACCUGUGCAACAAUCGAUAAUUUACUAUGAUUUGUGGAACCAUACCAUAAUGGUUCGUCAAAAUCUUUCAAUUAGUUCUUCAUCUACAAUUGAACAUUCACAUGCAUUACCCUAAUUCAUUCUCAUUGCAUCCAUAAUCAUACUCCUAUAACGAUUAUUAUUAUCAUUUACAAUUCCAUUAUUGCUAGAACUAAAAGUCGACCCAAGCAUCCUUUAUACCAUGAUCUUGUACAGAACAUAUGAUUCUACAUGUGCAAACCAACACAAGUACUUCUUUAAGCACUUUUUUUUUCUAGAAGAUGUAUCGUAAUAACAUCUAGAUCGAGAAACUUUUAUUUUUACACCUUUUACAUGGAAAUUUAAUACCGCAUCCACUAAUAUUUUUGGAUUAGAUAGUGUGUAUUUAAUAAAACGCUUAACCCCAUUAUAAUAAUUUAUUUCGCGCAACCUUUAAGGUGAAACUCGAUACAUCCAAGGACGAUCGACAAUUACAUAUAUGAAACCUAUAUAGAAUAUUAAUGACAACAUGUAUUAAUUAAUAAUGUGAACUAAAGAAAUUAUCGAUGCCCAACUAAUUAACUAUCAUUAGUUUAACUCAAAUUUAUUCACUCUAUUUUAACAGUACCCUUAAAUCAUUAUUAAUUUUCUACAAAAGCUCAAAUUCCUUCAAAUUUGUUGAGAUUUUCAAUUUAACAAAAAAUUGAUAAAAUAUGAAAUGUACCUAUUAAAUAAGCCAUUAUUUAUGUCAUCAUGUAAUUUUUUAUUCUUUCUUUAUUUUUGUGUAGUAAAAAACUAAAUGAAAUUAUGGAAAAAAUAAAAUGAAAGAAGAAUAAAUUGAAAUUUGGUUCAAGACAACACAAAUUAAAAGCUUUGAGUAUUAAUGAGGGUGAAAUUAUAAAUCUAGGAGUUAAUUUUGGUAGAAAUUCAAAGAAUUAAUAAGUUUAGAGACUUAAUUGAACUUUGAAUAGUUUAAUUAAUGAAAUCAGGGGCUUAAUUGAAGAAAUACCAAUGUUUGGGGGCUGAUUUGGGUCAAAAUUGCAAGAAUUGAAGUCCAAGGACCAAAGUGAAAAUUCAGGGGUACAAUAGGUAGUUUAAUUGAUUUUUUCAAGGGUAAUUUUGAAAGAAUUAAAAGUUAAAGAGUCAAUUAAGAACUGAAUUAGAAACUAAGGACUCUUUUGUAAAUAGCGUUGGAAUGCAAGGGUCCAAUUGCAAUUAAUCCAGGAGCAAAAAAAAAAAUAUAAUGAAGAAGAAAUUUCCUUAAAUAAGGGCCUGAUUGAAAGAUAUCAGAACUUCAGUGUCCAAAUUGAAGAAUGACCAACUCAGUCGAAAACAAUAUUGUUUCUACAUGUACUGUUUCUUCUUCUUGUUCCUCUGGAACUGAAAAUCCGCCUACGAAAAAGGGAAAGAAGAGUGAAAUGAUGGUGUCCCCAUCCUACCCAACACCACAGCCAAGGUCACCCCAUAUGGCUGGGCUAGAUCCAACCAAAAAAUGACAGAUAUUUGUUGUUUCUAUCAUAGAAAAUUAAAGGCCACCAUGAUGUCUCUGUGUGACAAUUUAUUUUAUUAUAAAACACAUAAGUUACAAAAUCAAACUCAUUUUCAUCAAAUGACAAACAAAUAUAAUUUUUUAAAAUUUCAAACAAACCAUAACAUGCACAAAUCAUAUAAUAAAUUUAUAUGGAAAAACGCUAUAAAACAAGUAAACACACAAACGAAUUACAUAUACUACAUCAAAAUGCAAAAAAAAAAAAUCAAUAUUUUGAAAAUGGAUUACAAAAAAAAAAAAAAGGUAGUUUUGUUACUUGAUGUGGUGAAUAUUCAAAAAACAUUGAACCAGAAUAGGGUUACUGACAAACUUAGUGUUGGGGUGACUAGAUUCAUAAUGAUGAUAGCUUGAUUUGUGACAAAAUAUGUGGGUAUUGUGUGUUGUUUUCUACAAAAUGAAAAGGAAGAAGAAGAAAUUAGGGAGGAGGAGAGGAGGGUUGUCUAUCAAGAUAUAACAUAAAUAUUAUCGACAGACGACGAGUAUUAAUAAAGAGUAUAUUUUCUCGGUAAUUCCAUUUGUAAUAAUGGCACUUUAUUUUUUUCAUUCAUUCAUUUCUUACUGUAUUUUUCUUAGUAUUCACCGAUGAAAAAUUUAUAUCAGUAUAUACUGAGAGAAAUAGCGAGGAAAUAUUCCGUUAAUAAAAGUCAUUGUGAUUUAUUGACGAGUUUUUUUUUUUAGUAUUUCUAUUUAUAUUUGACAAUUUUCUAAUUGUGAUAUAUAUUGGACAAUGAACCGUGAAUCGCUGUCUCUCUUCUAAUUUAAUUUUAAUUUUGUAAGUUUGAUGAAAACAGUGGCAAAACCGCCAAACCUCAAGAAUGGUGUUUCCUUGUGAUCAUUUUUAUUUUAAACAUUUUUCAACAUUCUUCCUCAACAAAUUGGACUAUUUAAUGCAAAGCUUUUAUUUAUAAUAAAAAAACCGCAAGACAGCAUAAUUGCACAGCAUGACAUUUCUUUAUUUAGCUAAAGUAUUAAAACAAAAGGUCCCUGCUCCUAUCAUGACUUGUGAGAAUAGUGAUCCAACUAAGCUUUGCUGGAGAUGAAUUCCACUUCAUUUCUUAAUCCCAUUUGUUGUGGAAGAGGUGGGAUGCUUUGUUCGUGUCUGAAGAAAUUAUCAGGAUCAACUUUGGUCUUCACAUGCACCAACCUGUUGAAGUUAUCCUUGAAGUAGUUGGUACCAAAAGCACUCGCUUCGACAAAACUUGUUUUAGAAUUUCUGUUCAUGCCCAAAUCAAGAUCCCUGUAAUUAGCAUAUGCUUCCCUAGGAUUCUUUGAGACAUAAGGUGUCAUGUAACUGUAAACCUUCCUAGUCCAAUUUAUAUGCUUUGCAACGUUUUCCGUUGCAUCUUGCCAACUGGACCAGUAAAGGAUCAUGAACUUGGUACCUUUUCUAUGAGGGAAAGGAGUCUGAGAUUCUGAAAUUUGGUUCA